ACAGGGCGACUCCCUGGCUGUCAUGUGAAUUCCCAAAGAGGGACAGAAUCGAUUGGGCAAACUGUCUGAACUUCCACUUUAUGUUUAAAAUACCUCCUCUCCUCCAAAUCACGUAAGAAGGUCUUCACAUUGUGAGAGUCUGACAAUGGAUGGAGAUGUUUUGCUUAGGUCUUGAUCUUUCAGGGGAAGAAAAUGAGGACAUCAUCAAAGAGAUGUGUGUGAGAUUUCCGAAUUUAACUGUUUCCCUAUCCUGCUUCUUCUUUUUGCCUUUUUGGAGCAUUUGCUUCUGACCAGUAAUAUAUUCAAAUAAACAUUUCUAAGCAGCACCCUAUACUGUACAUAUGGAAUGCAGUAUAUGGAAUCCGCUAUUCAAAUAAGCAUCUCUAAGUAGCACCCUCUACUGUAUACAUGGAGUACAGUAUAUGCAAUACAGUGAGAUUUAAAAAAAA
Molecule: long non-coding RNA, 449 nt
Organism: Sus scrofa (pig)
Lineage: Eukaryota; Metazoa; Chordata; Mammalia; Artiodactyla; Suidae
Source: RefSeq, a predicted model, not a curated record